RNAcentral lists this ribosomal RNA (254 nucleotides) under uncultured archaeon. RNAcentral describes it as "partial 16S ribosomal RNA". It matches the Rfam family "Archaeal small subunit ribosomal RNA", at positions 731 to 982 of the family's 1478-position model. The record is from RNAcentral.
AGAUACCCGCGUAGUCCUAGCCGUAAACGAUACUCGCUAGGUGUCGGCCACGGUGCGACCGUUUGUCCGGUGCCGUAGGGAAGCCGUGAAGCGAGCCACCUGGGAAGUACGGCCGCAAGGCUGAAACUUAAAGGAAUUGGCGGGGGAGCACAACAACGGGUGGAGCUUGCGGUUUAAUUGGAUUCAACGCCGGAAAUCUUACCGGGACCGACAGCAACAUGAAGGCCAAGCUGAAGACUUUGCCGGAUUAGCUG